UGAACAAGGGGAUCUUUAUUUUUUUACCAAGGUGUUUUUAUUUUUUAAUCAAGUCAUUUCCUUGCUAUAGAUGUCAUAUUUUUUAAUUAUUAAUUUAUUUAUUAUUACAGCGUGUGUACGCCAUGGGUGAUGUGUACCCGGAGUCGGCAAAACUGCCCAAGGGUGACUACAGUUUGCAAUUGUUGUUCAUUGAGAGAAAAUUGGACAAGGAGGCAGUGCAAUUGAGCUUUUAUACACAACCAGAUGGUCCAGUGACACGAUAUGAGUUACCAUAUGUGGUUACUUUGGGGAGGGACCAGCCCAUCUAUUUUUCCAUCCCGACCAGCUCGUUUCUUUUUCACCUGCACUCACAACCAAAUGUUGUCAGGUGCUGUUGUGAAAUUACAUAAGUGUAAAUCCCAGACGUGGAACAGAUGCUAUAAAUGCAAGUGAAUGUACUGAACUGAACCUCUGAUAUGAUGCCUAGAAUUCUUGCUGAAGAGCUUCGUAUUUGGU
Lactuca sativa (garden lettuce) is the source of this 495-nucleotide non-coding RNA. Lineage: Eukaryota; Viridiplantae; Streptophyta; Magnoliopsida; Asterales; Asteraceae. The record is from RefSeq and is a predicted model, not a curated record.